RNAcentral lists this ribosomal RNA (647 nucleotides) under Pristimantis bicantus. RNAcentral describes it as "partial large subunit ribosomal RNA". It matches the Rfam family "Bacterial large subunit ribosomal RNA", at positions 1945 to 2750 of the family's 2925-position model. The record is from RNAcentral. Lineage: Eukaryota; Metazoa; Chordata; Amphibia; Anura; Strabomantidae.
ACCGUGCAAAGGUAGCGUAAUCACUUGUCUUUUAAAUAAAGACUAGUAUGAAAGGCACCACGAGGAUUAAACUGUCUCCUCUCUCCAAUCAGUGAACCUAAUCUCCCCGUGAAAAAGCGGGAAUUUUUAUAUAAGACGAGAAGACCCUAUGGAGCUUAAAACAUCAUAACACUGCACCCCGUAUUACUAAUCCAGAUAUUAACCCCCCCCCACGGCACACUGAUUAUAUGUUUUCGGUUGGGGUGACCGCGGAGGAAAACCCAUCCCCCGCGAUGACAGGGAAGACCCCAGACAAUAAGUCACAACUUUAUGUAUCAACAAAUUGACAUUAUUGACCCAAUAUAUUGAUUAACGAACCAAGUUACCCUAGGGAUAACAGCGCAAUCCACUUUGAGAGCCCCUAUCGACAAGUGGGCUUACGACCUCGAUGUUGGAUCGGGGUACCCCAGUGGUGCAGCCGCUACUAAAGGUUCGUUUGUUCAACGAUUAAAACCCCACGUGAUCUGAGUUCAGACCGGAGUAAUCCAGGUCAGUUUCUAUCUAUAGCAGCGCUAUUUUUAGUACGAAAGGACCAAAAUAGCCCGGCCAAUACCCCCAGCAAGCCGUCAUUAAUCACUUUAGACCUCCACUCAAAAAACUAUUAACCU